ACGACUACAUAUCAGGCAUAUCAAUAAGCGGAGGAAAAGAAAAAAUAAUGGAACAACAAGCAAUUUCCCUAUACGAACUCAACGGACUGGUGAAACGAAGCAUCCGUUCCUGCUUGCCCGAUACCUAUUGGGUACAGGCGGAGCUGAGUGAUGUCCGGACUAACUAUUCGGGGCAUUGCUAUCUGGAAUUCGUGCAGAAGGAUGCAGGCGGUAACAAUCUCAUCGCCAAGGCGAGAGGAACCGUCUGGAGCAACAUCUUCAAGAUGCUGAAGCCUUACUUUGAGCAGGAGACGGGGCAGUCGUUUACCUCCGGCAUCAAGGUGUUGGUGGAAGUGUCGGUGGAGUUUCACGAACUCUAUGGCUAUUCGCUCACUGUGCUCGACAUCGAUCCCACUUAUACGGUGGGCGACAUGGAGAGGAAGCGUCGGGAAAUACUCCGGCAAUUGGAAGAAGAGGGGGUGAUUGACUUGAACAAGGAGCUGGAGAUGCCGAUGUUGCCCCAACGGGUGGCGGUGAUUUCCUCGGCUACGGCGGCCGGCUACGGCGACUUCUGCAAUCAGUUGGCGAACAAUCCCCGGGGAUAUGGUUUCCGCACCGAACCCUUUCCUGCUAUCAUGCAAGGCGAGAGGGUGGAGGAGAGUGUCAUUGCCGCCCUCGAUACCAUUUACGAACGAAUGGAGGAGUUCGAUGUGGUGGUGAUUAUUCGUGGAGGAGGGGCGACCUCUGAUUUGUCGGGUUUCGAUACCUACGCUUAGGAUGUUGACACACGCGCGUGCUCG
RNAcentral lists this ribosomal RNA (779 nucleotides) under uncultured Neocallimastigales. Its description in RNAcentral is "partial large subunit ribosomal RNA". The record is from RNAcentral. Lineage: Eukaryota; Fungi; Neocallimastigomycota; Neocallimastigomycetes; Neocallimastigales.